GAUGAACGCUAGCUACAGGCUUAACACAUGCGAGUCGAGGGGCAGCGGUAUCGAAAGCUUGCUUUCGGUAGCCGGCGACCGGCGCACGGGUGAGUAACGCGUAUCGAACCUGCCUCAUACUCGGGAAUAGCCUUGCGAAAGUAAGAUUAAUGCCCGGUGUUUUCAGAGUCCCGCAUGAGGCUUUGAACAAAGAUUUAUCGGUAUGAGAUGGCGAUGCGUCCCAUUAGCUUGUUGGCGGGGUAACGGCCCACCAAGGCAUCGAUGGGUAGGGGUUCUGAGAGGAAGGUCCCCCACAUUGGAACUGAGACACGGUCCAGACUCCUACGGGAGGCAGCAGUGAGGAAUAUUGGUCAAUGGGCGGAAGCCUGAACCAGCCAAGUAGCGUGCAGGAAGACGGCCCUCCGGGUUGUAAACUGCUUUUAGUUGGGAAUAAAACGGGGCUCGUGAGCCCCCUUGCAUGUACCAUCAGAAAAAGGACCGGCUAAUUCCGUG
This 492-nucleotide ribosomal RNA is filed under the name uncultured bacterium. RNAcentral describes it as "partial 16S ribosomal RNA". It matches the Rfam family "Bacterial small subunit ribosomal RNA", at positions 28 to 507 of the family's 1533-position model. The record is from RNAcentral.